UACAGAGGGUGCGAGCGUUAAUCGGAAUUACUGGGCGUAAAGCGCGCGUAGGCGGCUUUGCAAGUCGGGUGUGAAAUCCCCAGGCUUAACCUGGGAACUGCAUUCGAGACUGCAUUGCUAGAGUAUGGGAGAGGGAAGUGGAAUUUCCGGUGUAGCGGUGAAAUGCGUAGAUAUGCGGAGGAACACCGAUGGCGAAGGCGGCCAUCUGGACGGUAACUGACGCUGAGACGCGAAAGCGUGGGGAGCAAACAGG
This 253-nucleotide ribosomal RNA is filed under the name uncultured bacterium. RNAcentral describes it as "partial 16S ribosomal RNA". It matches the Rfam family "Bacterial small subunit ribosomal RNA", at positions 524 to 776 of the family's 1533-position model. The record is from RNAcentral.